Molecule: ribosomal RNA, 191 nt
Filed under: Collybiopsis melanopus
Lineage: Eukaryota; Fungi; Basidiomycota; Agaricomycetes; Agaricales; Omphalotaceae
Description: Gymnopus melanopus partial 28S ribosomal RNA
Rfam family: Eukaryotic large subunit ribosomal RNA
Source: RNAcentral
UUGACCUCAAAUCAGGUAGGACUACCCGCUGAACUUAAGCAUAUCAAUAAGCGGAGGAAAAGAAACUAACAAGGAUUCCCCUAGUAACUGCGAGUGAAGAGGGAAAAGCUCAAAUUUAGAAUCUGGCAGUCUUUGAUUGUCCGAGUUGUAAUUUAGAGAAGUGUUACCCGUGCUGGACCGUGUACAAGUCU